Molecule: ribosomal RNA, 468 nt
Filed under: uncultured bacterium
Lineage: Bacteria
Description: partial 16S ribosomal RNA
Rfam family: Bacterial small subunit ribosomal RNA
Source: RNAcentral
GACGAACGCUGGCGGCGUGCUUAACACAUGCAAGUCGAACGGAAAGGCCCUGCUUUUGUGGGGUGCUCGAGUGGCGAACGGGUGAGUAACACGUGAGUAACCUGCCCUUGACUUUGGGAUAUCUUCAGGAAACUGGGGCUAAUACCGGAUAGGAGCUCCUGCUGCAUGGUGGGGGUUGGAAAGUUUCGGCGGUUGUGGAUCGACUCGCGGCUUACCAGCUUGUUGGUGGGGUAGUGGCUUACCAAGGCUUUGGCGGGUAGCCGGCCUGGGAGGGUGGACGGCGACAAUGGGACUGAGAGAGGGAGCAGACGGCAACGGUAGGCAGCAGGGGAGAAUAUGACACAGUGGGCGGAAGCGUGAUGCGACGGCGCUGGGUGCGGGAAGACGGCUUUCGGGUUGUAAACCGCUGUCGCCUGUGACGAAGCGUGAGUGACGGUAAUGGGUAAAGAAGCACCGGCUAACUACGUG